This 334-nucleotide transfer-messenger RNA is filed under the name bovine gut metagenome. It matches the Rfam family "transfer-messenger RNA". From Rfam's summary of the family: Bacterial tmRNA, also known as 10Sa RNA or SsrA, is named for its dual tRNA and mRNA-like properties. Its role is to liberate the mRNA from a stalled ribosome. To accomplish this part of the tmRNA is used as a reading frame that ends in a translation stop signal. RNAcentral also lists the same sequence under 1 other name. The record is from RNAcentral.
GGGCCUGUCAGGUUUCGACGGGGUACCUUAAGUUGAAGAAGCUAUCCGCAGGAGUGCGUCAAACCCAAAAUUAAACUAAACGCUGAAGAUAAUUUAGCACUGGCUGCCUAAGGGCAGCCCGUCCUUCCCGGUGCACCUGCACAUCGGGGUAAGGGCGUCGGUUUGCAGGAAACGCAUAUGCAAAGCUUUGAGCAUAUGGCAGAUCCAUGAAGCUACUGAAACCGUUACGUUGUCGAUGACAUAACGGCAGAGGGAAUGUCUGAUCAUCGACUAUGAUAGUAGAAGGGCAAGGGCGGGUGUUUCGGACAGGGGUUCAAUUCCCCUCAGGUCCACU